This 253-nucleotide ribosomal RNA is filed under the name uncultured bacterium. Its description in RNAcentral is "partial 16S ribosomal RNA". It matches the Rfam family "Bacterial small subunit ribosomal RNA", at positions 524 to 776 of the family's 1533-position model. The record is from RNAcentral.
UACGUAGGGGGCUAGCGUUGUCCGGAUUUAUUGGGCGUAAAGAGCGUGUAGGCGGCCUUGUAGGUCCGGUGUGAAAACUCGAGGCUUAACCUCGAGAUGUCAUCGGAAACCAUUUGGCUAGAGUCCGGAAGAGGAGAGCGGAAUUCCUGGUGUAGCGGUGAAAUGCGCAGAUAUCAGGAAGAACACCAAUGGCGAAAGCAGCGCGCUGGGACGGUACUGACGCUGAGACGCGAAAGCGUGGGGAGCGAACAGG